This is a long non-coding RNA of Strigops habroptila (Kakapo), 220 nucleotides long. RefSeq lists it as uncharacterized. Lineage: Eukaryota; Metazoa; Chordata; Aves; Psittaciformes; Psittacidae. The transcript has 3 exons. The record is from RefSeq and is a predicted model, not a curated record.
CUUUUGUGAUUCUUAAUCAGAGAAUCACAGAAUGGUUUGGGUUGGAAGGGACCUUAAAGAUCCAGUUCCAAUCUCUCUGCCAUGGGUGGGGACACCUUUCCACUAGACCAGGUUGCUCAAAGCCCCGUCCAGCCUGGCCUUGAACACUUCAGGCAUGGGCAACCACAGUUUCUCUGGCAAUCUGUGCCAGUGUCUCACCACCCUCACAGGGAAGAAUUUA